AAGCGUUUAUGACCAGACUUGGGCUUGGUUAAUCAUCUGGGGUUCUCCCCAGUGCACUUUUCCAGUCCAGGCCAGCAUCAGUUCGCUGUGGGGGAUAAAGGCUUUGGGAAUGUGGCUCCUCCGGGAGUGUUAUAGCCCAUUGUGUAAUACCCUGUGGUGGACUGAGGUUCGCGCAUCUGCAAGGAUGCUGGCGUAAUGGUCAUCAGCGA
This 209-nucleotide ribosomal RNA is filed under the name Ilyonectria sp. RNAcentral's name for it is "partial large subunit ribosomal RNA". Lineage: Eukaryota; Fungi; Ascomycota; Sordariomycetes; Hypocreales; Nectriaceae. The record is from RNAcentral.